AUCUUUGCUAGAAUUUGAACUUCCAUUUGAAGACUCUCUGGGUGCCUGCUCGCCCUUUCUUCUCUCUACUUACUCCCAUAUACCUUGUCCUUAUUUCUGUGUAUCCAAUUCUGUGUCCAUUAUUCCAUUUUGUCUUGUUUUGUCAGCUCUGCAGUCCAAAGAUGGAGAAGCUCUAUACAGUCAGCAAAAACAAGAAUGGGAGCUGACUGUGCUUUGGAUCAUGAACUCCUUAUUGCCAAAUACAGACUGAAAUUGAACAAAGUGGAGAAAACCUCUGGAACAUUCAGAACCACUGAGGGCCAAGUCCUGCUGAUCCAAGCCCUUCCAAGAUAUUAAUAGAACUUCCUUCAGCUCAGCUGGCUUCAAGUAAACCAAGAGAGAGUAUUCUGCAAAGACUCAAUCUCUAUCCACCAAUCCUCCCAUCCCCUAAACUCCUAGGUUUCUAGAAAAAGCAAUAUCUGAGGUCCAAUCAGACAGUUCCUUACAGAGGCAGGGUCUCCACUAUGU
Long non-coding RNA from Bos taurus (domestic cattle), 507 nucleotides. The record is from Ensembl. NCBI's taxonomy places the organism in Eukaryota, Metazoa, Chordata, Mammalia, Artiodactyla, Bovidae.